RNAcentral lists this ribosomal RNA (483 nucleotides) under Fusarium oxysporum. Its description in RNAcentral is "eukaryotic LSU rRNA". The stretch from base 168 to 321 matches the Rfam family "5.8S ribosomal RNA". The record is from RNAcentral. Lineage: Eukaryota; Fungi; Ascomycota; Sordariomycetes; Hypocreales; Nectriaceae.
ACCUGCGGAGGGAUCAUUACCGAGUUUACAACUCCCAAACCCCUGUGAACAUACCACUUGUUGCCUCGGCGGAUCAGCCCGCUCCCGGUAAAACGGGACGGCCCGCCAGAGGACCCCUAAACUCUGUUUCUAUAUGUAACUUCUGAGUAAAACCAUAAAUAAAUCAAAACUUUCAACAACGGAUCUCUUGGUUCUGGCAUCGAUGAAGAACGCAGCAAAAUGCGAUAAGUAAUGUGAAUUGCAGAAUUCAGUGAAUCAUCGAAUCUUUGAACGCACAUUGCGCCCGCCAGUAUUCUGGCGGGCAUGCCUGUUCGAGCGUCAUUUCAACCCUCAAGCACAGCUUGGUGUUGGGACUCGCGUUAAUUCGCGUUCCUCAAAUUGAUUGGCGGUCACGUCGAGCUUCCAUAGCGUAGUAGUAAAACCCUCGUUACUGGUAAUCGUCGCGGCCACGCCGUUAAACCCCAACUUCUGAAUGUGACCUCG